UCUUUGUCUAUUAGGCCUGUCUUAUGUGUCACAGUUCCAAAAGGGCACACCAGUGUCUCUAGUGAGGCAGCCAUGCGCUGGACCCUCUGUGUUCGGACGCUAAAAGCUGGUGUGGUGCUACUACUCUCUCUUGGCUCACGGAACUGUGGGGAAGCUUUGUUGUCUCUCUCUGUUAUUUGUGGGCGUAGUACUGACCUCUGAGGCUAACCCCAGGCCAUAGUACCCCAUUCCACCAGGCUGUCUCCAGGCGCCAGGACGUGGUGUUCUGCCGGGCUGGGGCAGGUGCCGGAAACCCCUGCAAGCCAGGUGGACUUUGAGUCCAGUGCCUCGCAACCAAAAGGGGGGGGGGAACCAGUGCGAGCAGGUGAAUUCUUAAUUCGGUGACUCGCAGAGCGAGCAGGCGUAUUCUGAUUCAGUGACUCGCAGAACAAGCAGGCGGAUUCUGAUUCGGUGACUCACAGAGCGAGCAGGCGGAUUCUGAUUCGGUGACUUGCAGAAGAAGGUGUAAGCAGGCGCACUUUUAGUUCGGUGCCUUACAGAAUUAAGCGCGCGCAGAAAAUGGGUGUAGGUCAGUCGACAGGAAUUCCAGUGCCUUUAUGAUAAGAGCCUUCUGGUAUAGGAUCCUAAUGAAGUCUGAUAUUAAGUGCCGGAUGUCUUAGGGCAGUGCCACUUAAUAGAAACACCCAUGAGAAUUGGACAAUAAAGAAAGAUGCAUCUAAAUGUGGAAACUGUAGGAAAAAUGUGAAAAAGGAGAAAAAAAAAUGUGUGUGAAAAAUGAGUAUGAAUGUAAUGAGUGAAGAAUGAAUGCCGCUGCAUAGGUCUGAGACUUGAGCUGAUCCCAGCUGCACCAGGGCUCUCCCACGAGGGAGCUCUGAACGCAAGGAGGGGGGUCAGCUGAACCUCGAAACUCAGCGGAUAUGUGAGGGAGUGAUGACUCCCCUUAUUUCAUGAGCUGCUAAGGUCUGACACUCUAGACCUGGCAGACUCUUUCUUUGGAGUGUGUAAAGUUAAUUUAGGUGGGGGUUAGUCUAAGCACCCCCCCACUUUGCCGAAAGGCACCCCUGUGUACUACAUGUACGUGCAUAAUGGUCCAAGGACCUGUAAGCAUUUAACAAAUUGGAAAAGAGGAAAAAUUAAAGCCCUGAGGGAUGAAAGUAAAGCUCAGAAAAGCAAAAAUCCUCCCUGCAGUAAGAUAGGUAACUUAAAAGUUGCUGCAGCACCUCUGUGCCAAAAUAAUGCACAAGAAGUGGAAAAAAAAAGAAAAGAGCUUUCUCAGUUGGCACACCCAUAUCAACCAAGCUUGGGGGGGAAAUUUGGCACAACAUCACCCCUCUAUACCUCUUUAUAACGUAUACACAGAUAGAGAGGAAACAUGAAAAAUAACUUAAAGGAAUUAGCUCUUCCCUUUGAAAACACGGGCUCCUGUAACAAACUUGCCCGAUCCAAAGCAAAACACAAAGUUUAAAAUAAGUUUAACAGUUUAAGGAAAGUGUUCCUCCAAAUCAUAAGGGGGAGGGAAAAAAAC
Non-coding RNA from Pelodiscus sinensis (Chinese soft-shelled turtle), 1525 nucleotides. Lineage: Eukaryota; Metazoa; Chordata; Testudines; Trionychidae. The record is from RefSeq and is a predicted model, not a curated record.